This 497-nucleotide ribosomal RNA is filed under the name uncultured bacterium. RNAcentral describes it as "partial 16S ribosomal RNA". It matches the Rfam family "Bacterial small subunit ribosomal RNA", at positions 28 to 507 of the family's 1533-position model. The record is from RNAcentral.
GAUGAACGCUGGCGGCGUGCCUAAUACAUGCAAGUCGAGCGAACAGACGAGGAGCUUGCUCCUCUGACGUUAGCGGCGGACGGGUGAGUAACACGUGGAUAACCUACCUAUAAUACUGGGAUAACUUCGGGAAACCGGAGCUAAUACCGUAUAAUAUAUUGAACCGCAUGGUUCAAUAGUGAAAGACGGUUUUGCUGUCACUUAUAGAUGGAUCCGCGCCGCAUUAGCUAGUUGGUAAGGUAACGGCUUACCAAGGCAACGAUGCGUAGCCGACCUGAGAGGCUGAUCGCCCACACUGGAACUGAGACACGGUCCAGACUCCUACGGGAGGCAGCAGUAGGGAAUCUUCCGCAAAGGGCGAAAGCCUGACGGAGCAACGCCGCGUGAGUGAUGAAGGUCUUCGGAUCGUAAAACUCUGUUAUUAGGGAAGAACAAAUGUGUAAGUAACUAUGCACGUCUUGACGGUACCUAAUCAGAAAGCCACGGCUAACUACGUG